Molecule: ribosomal RNA, 157 nt
Filed under: Psilotum nudum
Lineage: Eukaryota; Viridiplantae; Streptophyta; Polypodiopsida; Psilotales; Psilotaceae
Description: 5.8S ribosomal RNA
Rfam family: 5.8S ribosomal RNA
About the family: 5.8S ribosomal RNA (5.8S rRNA) is a component of the large subunit of the eukaryotic ribosome. It is transcribed by RNA polymerase I as part of the 45S precursor that also contains 18S and 28S rRNA. Functionally, it is thought that 5.8S rRNA may be involved in ribosome translocation.
Source: RNAcentral
AUGACUCUCAGCAACAGAUAUCUUGGCUCUUGCAACGAUGAAGAACGCAGCGAAAUGUGAUACGUAGUGUGAAUUGCAGAAUUCUGUGAAUCAUCGAGUCUUUGAAUGCAAGUUGUGCCCGCGGCUCGUCCAAGGGCAUACCUUCCUGAACGUCCCU